This 492-nucleotide ribosomal RNA is filed under the name uncultured bacterium. RNAcentral describes it as "partial 16S ribosomal RNA". It matches the Rfam family "Bacterial small subunit ribosomal RNA", at positions 29 to 507 of the family's 1533-position model. The record is from RNAcentral.
AGUGAACGCUGGCGGUAGGCCUAACACAUGCAAGUCGAACGGCAGCACAGUAAGAGCUUGCUCUUACGGGUGGCGAGUGGCGGACGGGUGAGGUAUACAUCGGCAUCUACUUUUUCAAGGGGGCUAACGUAGGCAAACUUACGCUAAUACCGCAUCCGACCCACGCGUGAACCCAGAGGAUCUUCGGACCUUGCGCGUUUGUAUGUGCCGUUGUCGGACUAGCUCGUCGGCGGGGUAAAGGCCCACCACCUCGACGAUCCCUAGUCGGUCUCAGAGGAUGAUCAGCCCCAAUAGAUCUGAGACAGGGUCCCUACUCCUACGCGAGGCAGCAGUGGCGAAUUGUGGACAAUAGUCGGAAGAAUGCUCCAGCCGUACCGCAUGGUUGAAGAAGGCCUUCUGGUUGUAAAUCCCUUUUGUUGGGAAAGAAAAGCAGCAGGUUAAUACCCCGCUGUUCUGACGGUACCCAAAGAAUAAGCACCGGCUAACUUCGUG